Molecule: long non-coding RNA, 2287 nt
Organism: Arvicola amphibius (Eurasian water vole)
Lineage: Eukaryota; Metazoa; Chordata; Mammalia; Rodentia; Cricetidae
Exons: 3
Source: RefSeq, a predicted model, not a curated record
UCCUGCUAUAGCUCUGAAAACUCUCAUGCCCCCUUGAGCUUUCAGAUAAACCCAGUCUCAAAGAUGCCUACACACUAAACAAUGUCAAAGAACAAUCUAAUGUCUAUUUUCUGCAACAUAGAUUUGUGGCACAAGAUGUUGAAUCUAUUUUAUCCACCCACCUAACACCAAGCAUACUAGAAAAAUCUCUGCAGCUCAGAAACUCCUUUUCUCCCCUGCCUAGACCCAGACAGGGCCAUGGUCUAGGAAACGUGUAAUUUAGUAGAAAUUCUUCCAGUUUUGUACACCUUCCAUUAUAUACUCAAUGUCCAGUGCAGUCAAACACAAGUCACACUCUAACAGUAACUGUUGUUACUGUGUAACUAUUGUUAAAGCAAAAGGGGCCAUGAAUUAGAAAACAAUGAGGGUCAUGGUAGGGCUUAGAGGCAGGAAAGAGACUAUAUACGAUGUAGUUAUAAUCUCAAAGAAUUCUUUUGAAAAGUUGAAACAGGCUUCAUGACCAUGUUCUCCAGAGACUAGGGAUUUGUAUGAGAGCACAUGAAGGGAUACUUAUACCUUUUCUCCCAGGAUGUGCACCUUAAAUCAUAAAAAUAACAGUCUUGUUAGGCAAAGCCACAUAAUUUAGCCAGAUCUUGUAGUCUACUUGAACAAGUGUAACUAUAGUAAUUGGGUUUCGUGAUAGGGUCAGAUUUUAUCCUGAUUCUUGAUUGCCCUCCUCUGUGAACACCAGUAAAUGGUCAGUCAGGAUAUUUGUUGAUCAUCUAAACCUGACUACCUGAUCCACAUUGCUAACCUCAACUACUGCAAAGCAGGAAAGCUUUCAACCUCCAUCCUAUCCCUCCCUUUCUGCACUGUGACUACAUCAGCUUCAAAGUUGGUCAUUGAACUCAAUUCUUGAACAGGUCACUCUUCAUUUUCCCAAAUAAAAGCCAGAGAUGUUGCAGGACACUCAUUAACUGGUCUAUGUUUCUUUCUUACUUACCAGUCAAGGCCCAGCCUGGAAGGUGCUGCAGAACUGUCUUCCCAGCACUGGACAGCAGAGGAAGGAAAAGGUUGUUGUUGAAAUAAGCUGUGGAGAAUUGGAGCAGAAUGGAAUAAAGAGAAAAAGGAGAAUAAAACAAUGAAGAGAAUUAGAGCUGAAGAAGAAUAAAAGGGAAUGAUCCUCAGAUUGUAUGAAGCCCUGCUACUCUAAAAAGCAUUUCCUUAGUGACCCUGGGUGCAGCCCCGAGAGCUGAACUCUCCCAGGCUGCCUAAAAAAAAGCUACAGAGAAACCCUGUCUCGAAAAACCAAAAAGUGAAAAAAGAAAAAAAAAAAAAAGAAAAAAAAAAAAAAAAAUAACUACCAUACAGUGGGACAAGUUCAGGGAGGACUAAUAAAAUAAGUGGAACAGUGUAUCUUAAGACCAAGCCCACAGAGGCCUUGGACUGAUAACCAUAGCUCCAUGUGAUGGGAAGAGUUGGAUUCUCAGGAACUGAAUCAACCCCUCCCCCAAAGCCCUGGCCCCAGAUCACUACCAGUGAGAAAGCUUGGGGGGGGGGGGAGGGUAGACCAGAGCCAAGACAGGCUCUCCUUGCAGCCCUAAUAGAGAUCAGGCCUUAGUUUCGGUUCACUAAAAUAGGACAGAGCUAAACAGUCAUCCGAAAAACCACAACUUAGGAGCAGACAUCCCAGUCUUCUGCUAGCUCAGCAGUCACCCCAUGGCCCCUUCUGCUGGCUCAGCACAUGACCCCCAGUCUCCUGAUAACUAAAGAUAGCUUUACCUACCCUGCUGCUAGAAGGUCCCUAAGCAUUAGGACCUCCCUCUAACCAAUCAGGCCCCAGACUAAUCUUUCCUCCACCAAUCAGUCACAGAGUAGUCUCUCCUCCCUGGAAUUUCCCUAACUCUGCUUAAAAGGAGCUUGUGACCUUCUUUAGGGGUUGCCAACUGCUACCCCAACGUUGGAAUCAAUAAAGCACUCUUGUUAUCGCAUACAUGGCUGUUGGUCUUUCCUUGGAGGCUUCUCUCAGACCCUAACAAUUGGGGCAUUGUCCGUAAAGUUCCCCAGAGAACCCCACCAUGCUGAGCGUCUGAUAACCUGGCUGGCUGUGUGACCAUGAAUUCAGGAUUCUCAAGAACAGGAUGUUGCCUUUCCAAUGCACCUUGUGAUUAGUCUGAAAUAGUCACAGAAGCUUGCUACGCCCACGGCUGUCACGCCUGUCACGCCUGUGUAGCAGAAAAAUGCCGCUGAGGUGGAAAGACGCUGAAGGGUUGGGGUCUGCGCUCCCAGGAGCUGAGCCCCAGGCGGU